GCCUGGGUAGUUCAGUGGUAGAACGCCUCCAUGGUAAGGAGGAAGUCGGGAGUUCAAUCCUCCCCCCAGGCUCCA
This 75-nucleotide transfer RNA is filed under the name candidate division WWE3 bacterium RIFCSPHIGHO2_01_FULL_43_9. RNAcentral describes it as "tRNA-Thr". It matches the Rfam family "tRNA". From Rfam's summary of the family: Transfer RNA (tRNA) molecules are approximately 80 nucleotides in length. Their secondary structure includes four short double-helical elements and three loops (D, anti-codon, and T loops). The record is from RNAcentral. RNAcentral also lists the same sequence under 1 other name. Lineage: Bacteria; candidate division WWE3.